UACGGAGGGUGCAAGCGUUAUUCGGAAUUACUGGGCGUAAAGGGCGCGUAGGCGGCUUGGUAAGUCAGUUGUGAAAGCCCGGGGCUUAACCCCGGAAGUGCAGCUGAAACUGUCAGGCUUGAGUAUGGUAGAGGGAAGUGGAAUUCCUGGUGUAGCGGUGAAAUGCGUAGAUAUCAGGAGGAACACCGGUGGCGAAGGCGGCUUCCUGGACCAAUACUGACGCUGAGGCGCGAAGGCGUGGGGAGCAAACAGG
This 253-nucleotide ribosomal RNA is filed under the name uncultured Desulfococcus sp. Its description in RNAcentral is "partial 16S ribosomal RNA". It matches the Rfam family "Bacterial small subunit ribosomal RNA", at positions 524 to 776 of the family's 1533-position model. The record is from RNAcentral. Lineage: Bacteria; Pseudomonadati; Thermodesulfobacteriota; Desulfobacteria; Desulfobacterales; Desulfococcaceae.